UGGGGGAUAUUGCACAAUGGGCGAAAGCCUGAUGCAGCGACGCCGCGUGGGGGAUGAAGGCCUUCGGGUUGUAAACUUUUUUUGCUCUGAACAAGGCAUGCCUUUGGGGUGUGUUGAGUGUAGGGGUUGAUUAGCGCCGGCUAACUACGUGCCAGCAGCCGCGGUAAUACGUAGGGCGCGAGCGUUGUCCGGAAUUAUUGGGCGUAAAGGGCUUGUAGGUGGCUGGUUGCGUCUGUCGUGAAAGCUCAUGGCUUAACUGUGGGUUUGCGGUGGGUACGGGCUGGCUUGAGUGCAGUAGGGGAGGCUGGAAUUCCUGGUGUAGCGGUGGAAUGCGCAGAUAUCAGGAGGAAUACCGGUGGCGAAGGCGGGUCUCUGGGCUGUUACUGACGCUGAGGGGCGAAAGCGUGGGGAGCGAACAGG
Molecule: ribosomal RNA, 420 nt
Filed under: Fusobacteriota bacterium
Lineage: Bacteria; Fusobacteriati; Fusobacteriota
Description: Fusobacteria bacterium partial 16S ribosomal RNA
Rfam family: Bacterial small subunit ribosomal RNA
Source: RNAcentral